Molecule: long non-coding RNA, 244 nt
Filed under: Medicago truncatula (barrel medic)
Lineage: Eukaryota; Viridiplantae; Streptophyta; Magnoliopsida; Fabales; Fabaceae
Description: long non-coding RNA (MTRU_LNC000471)
Source: RNAcentral
UCAGAAUUUGAGGCAAAGGAAGUGAGCGUGCAAAAUGAGUGAGUAACCAUACAAUCACAAAACUAUUUUGGGUUUAAUUUCUUAAUUAGAGUUCUUCGAUGCUAAGAGUAUUUUUAUGGUAAUGGGUUUUGAGUUUUCAAUUGAAAAAUUGUGAAUUUAGUUUACUUAUUUAAUUCAUCUUCUUGAUUGUUCCAUCUAUCUUCGUUUUUAUUCUUUCCUUUAUGAAAUGAAGUUUCUAAAAAAU